Molecule: unclassified non-coding RNA, 1064 nt
Filed under: Bombus terrestris (buff-tailed bumblebee)
Lineage: Eukaryota; Metazoa; Arthropoda; Insecta; Hymenoptera; Apidae
Description: misc RNA ENSBTSG00005032084.1
Source: RNAcentral
UUAAAAGUUUGUAUAGUCGUCAUAGGGGCUUCAGAAGUUUCAGUGGCUACUUCACUCGAAGAUUCUGUACUUUCAUUCGAAUACGGAAUCGUACUUUGCUCCGUAACGGUAGAAGUAUAUGCUGUGAUAUUAAAAUUAGAUUGUGUAGUUGUUGAAAGUGCAGUCAUCCCGUAAAUUUCUGGUGUCGAAUAAUCGAAAGUUUGCAUAGUUGUGGUAGUGUUUGUACAAGUGUGAUCGUAUUGGUCGCAGCCACAAACAGGCCUGUGUGCUUUAACCCGACAUCGAACUGUCGAUCGACAGUGGCCGACGCAAGGAUCAACGCAGGAUCCAUCGACACAGGCUUCUGUGUCGCUGCAGUCGUCAUCGGACUCGCAGAAACGGUCGGGCGUGUGGUGAAGUACUGCUGCGGAUACAAUAGAAUAUAAACACGCUGAACGAGCCAAGAUAAGUCGAAGUAGCUCAAAGAGGCAGCUGAAAAUGUUUCAAGCGUCACUCUUUUCUCGAUUAGACUAAUCACUACGAUCACGUCAGAUUUACUGGCUUACUCCAAAUAAUAUAAAAAAAAACACACUCUACGAAUUAAUAAUAUUAAGUUAUAUAAGCAUGCUCGCGUAAUAAAUAGACAAGCUAUCGGUCAGAAAUAUAUAAUCGAUUAGGGUCUUUACAGAGACAGAUGUAACGGAGAAAAUAAUAAUCGUUGAACAGUGAGGACGUCGGCAGAGUAAAAGGAGAGUAUAGGUAUCGGGAUGAAUAGUUGUAUAUGUGGCAUUGGAACCUGAAACAUCUGAUUUUUCCAUUCAGACGCUGGAACACUCUCAUUUUACAAAAUAUAUAAAUCGAUCAAACCGUAUUCUUUGAAACAUUCGAAUCAACCACGUUAUCGAGUCAUUCCACCGUUUGAACGAUAAGAAACCUGAAAAGUAGCAACUGGUAUGUUCAGUGUGAGGCGUAUAGUAUAAUAGUAGUAUAGGCGAGUAAGAGUCAGACAGAUAUUCCAGAUAUAUAUAUAUCGUUGUGAACAAAUUCGGUGAAAGAAUAUAGUAACUGUGUCAGCUAUUUAUAUA